This is a non-coding RNA of Myodes glareolus (Bank vole), 1011 nucleotides long. The record is from the annotation of a RefSeq genome assembly. Lineage: Eukaryota; Metazoa; Chordata; Mammalia; Rodentia; Cricetidae.
CCUUGUAUACAUAUUGUGCAGGCUUAGGGCAGAAGCACAGCCUUUUUCUCAGUGCCUGGGUGGAUAGUUGAAGAGGUAGAAUUGUUCCUGAGAAAGAAUAAUACCCCAACAUUUGUAGCUGACCUCCUAGUCAUCAUAAUUAUACACUGAACCUUAAUUAAUUGGAAGAACAAUGAAGACAUAUGUUCCUACUUUAUUCAUGCUCUCGUGGCUGCAGCUGAAUGGGGUGAGCCAAGGUGAGCAGGUGGAUCAGCGUCCUUCCACCCUGAGAGUCCAGGAGGGAGCCAGAGCUGUCAUUAACUGCACAUAUGAAGACAGCGCCUCGCCCUACUUCCCUUGGUAUAAGCAAGAACCUGGAAAGCAUCCUAAGCUCAUUAUUGACAUUCGAUCAAAUAUGGAAAGAAAGCAGGACCAAAGACUGAUCAUUUCACAUGAUAAGAAAAUCAAACACCUCUCCCUGCACAUCACAGACACCCAGCCUGGAGAUUCUGCCAUGUACUUCUGUGCUGCAAGUGCACACUGCUCCCCAGGCACCUGCAACCUGUCCUAAAACCUGCCACAGGGCUUGGGGCCCCAUCCACAUCCUGUGUCUUGUUUGUGCAGCACUUGCCAGGUGUUAGUUUGCAAAUGACAGCUAUAGUACAGACAUUGAAAACACAAAAUAAGUAAUUAGCUUCAAGUCGCUCAAAACAAUUUAGAAUGGUUUUCUCCUUUUCAAAAAAUUUAUUUAAAAAUUAAAAUACAAUUUUAUUAUUUUCCUUUCUUCCCUCCAGCCCCUUCUAAAUCCCUUUUCUUAUUCCCUCUCAAAUUCAGUCCUUUGCUAAGAUAUUACUAACUUUUAUUAUUUAGUUAUUAUUUUUAAAUUAACUAAUUUUUAAACUAUUAUUACAUAUGUGGAUAAUGUAAUUGACUAUGUCUGAUUACUGUUGUUUGUGUGUAUAUAAUUUUAGGGCUGAUCACUUGGUAUUGGAUAUCCAAUAUUAUCCUCAGGGAUAAAUACUUCUUCCUCUA